Non-coding RNA from Myotis brandtii (Brandt's bat), 75 nucleotides. NCBI's taxonomy places the organism in Eukaryota, Metazoa, Chordata, Mammalia, Chiroptera, Vespertilionidae. The record is from Rfam.
GGCAGUUCUUGGGUGACGCACCGUGGAAUCAGGCUCUCUCCUCUCUGGUUCCGGGUGUGUCACCUGAGAACUGCA